This 533-nucleotide ribosomal RNA is filed under the name soil bacterium RFS-I2. Its description in RNAcentral is "bacterial SSU rRNA". It matches the Rfam family "Bacterial small subunit ribosomal RNA", at positions 8 to 524 of the family's 1533-position model. The record is from RNAcentral.
AGAGUUUGAUCCUGGCUCAGGACGAACGCUGGCGGCGUGCCUAAUACAUGCAAGUCGAGCGAAUCAAUAGGAGCUUGCUCCUGUUGGUUAGCGGCGGACGGGUGAGUAACACGUGGGCAACCUGCCUGUAAGACUGGGAUAACACCGGGAAACCGGUGCUAAUACCGGAUAAUCCUUUUCCUCUCAUGAGGAAAAGCUGAAAGUCGGUUUCGGCUGACACUUACAGAUGGGCCCGCGGCGCAUUAGCUAGUUGGUGAGGUAACGGCUCACCAAGGCGACGAUGCGUAGCCGACCUGAGAGGGUGAUCGGCCACACUGGGACUGAGACACGGCCCAGACUCCUACGGGAGGCAGCAGUAGGGAAUCUUCCACAAUGGACGAAAGUCUGAUGGAGCAACGCCGCGUGAGCGAUGAAGGCCUUCGGGUCGUAAAGCUCUGUUGUUAGGGAAGAACAAGUACCGGAGUAACUGCCGGUACCUUGACGGUACCUAACCAGAAAGCCACGGCUAACUACGUGCCAGCAGCCGCGGUAAU